Molecule: ribosomal RNA, 460 nt
Filed under: uncultured bacterium
Lineage: Bacteria
Description: partial 16S ribosomal RNA
Rfam family: Bacterial small subunit ribosomal RNA
Source: RNAcentral
CCUACGGGAGGCAGCAGUGAGGAAUAUUGGUCAAUGGACGAGAGCCUGAACCAGCCAAGCCGCGUGAAGGAUGACUGCCCUAUGGGUUGUAAACUUCUUUUAUAAAGGACUAAAACGAGGCACGUGUGCCUUUUUGCAUGUACUUUAUGAAUAAGGAUCGGCUAACUCCGUGCCAGCAGCCGCGGUAAUACGGAGGAUCCGAGCGUUAUCCGGAUGUAUUGGGUUUAAAGGGAGCGUAGGUGGGUUGUUAAGUCAGUUGUGAAAGUUUGCGGCUCAACCGUAAAAUUGCAAUUGAUACUGGCAGUCUUGAGUACAGUAGAGGUAGGCGGAAUUCGUGGUGUAGCGGUGAAAUGCUUAGAUAUCACGAAGAACCCCGAUUGCGAAGGCAGCUUACUAGACUGUGACUGACACUGAUGCUCGAAAGUGUGGGGAUCAAACAGGAUUAGAUACCCGAGUAGUC